AUUGAACGCUGGCGGCAUGCCUUACACAUGCAAGUCGAACGGUAACAGGUCUUCGGAUGCUGACGAGUGGCGAACGGGUGAGUAAUACAUCGGAACGUGCCUAGUAGUGGGGGAUAACUACUCGAAAGAGUGGCUAAUACCGCAUGAGAUCUACGGAUGAAAGCAGGGGAUCGCAGGACCUUGUGCUACUAGAGCGGCCGAUGGCAGAUUAGGUAGUUGGUGGGAUAAAAGCUUACCAAGCCGACGAUCUGUAGCUGGUCUGAGAGGACGAUCAGCCACACUGGGACUGGGACACGGCCCAGACUCCUACGGGAGGCAGCAGUGGGGAAUUUUGGACAAUGGGCGCAAGCCUGAUCCAGCAAUGCCGCGUGCAGGAUGGAGGCCUUCGGGUUGUAAACUGCUUUUGUACGAAACGAAAAGCCCUGGGUUAAUACCCUGGGGUCAUGACGGUACCGUAAGAAUAAGCACCGGCUAACUACGUGCCAGCCGCCGCCGUAA
This 498-nucleotide ribosomal RNA is filed under the name uncultured bacterium. RNAcentral describes it as "partial 16S ribosomal RNA". It matches the Rfam family "Bacterial small subunit ribosomal RNA", at positions 30 to 523 of the family's 1533-position model. The record is from RNAcentral.